AUGGUGACGACGCCGUUGCGCCCCACGCCGGAGGGCUGCCCUGGCGCGGCGCCACAGCUGGUGCUGCCAAAAGCGGCAGUGCGUCCAUGCACCGCGCCGGCUUCCCUCGGCAAGGACGGCUCCAGCCACGAGGCGGCCAUAACCAGCACUCACAUUGAAGCUCCCCUCAGCGGGGGCGAGCCGCCACCGACGGCGGCCCCAUCACGAUCAGCGAAACGCAAAUCAUGGUGCCAGAAAGACAGGUGGAGGGAGAGUCGCAGCCGAUGGGGAGCCCAUUGA
This 279-nucleotide ribosomal RNA is filed under the name Triticum aestivum (bread wheat). RNAcentral describes it as "partial small subunit ribosomal RNA". Lineage: Eukaryota; Viridiplantae; Streptophyta; Magnoliopsida; Poales; Poaceae. The record is from RNAcentral.